RNAcentral lists this ribosomal RNA (497 nucleotides) under uncultured bacterium. RNAcentral describes it as "partial 16S ribosomal RNA". It matches the Rfam family "Bacterial small subunit ribosomal RNA", at positions 28 to 507 of the family's 1533-position model. The record is from RNAcentral.
GAUGAACGCUGGCGGCGUGCCUAAUACAUGCAAGUCGAGCGAACGGACGAGAAGCUUGCUUCUCUGAUGUUAGCGGCGGACGGGUGAGUAACACGUGGAUAACCUACCUAUAAGACUGGGAUAACUUCGGGAAACCGGAGCUAAUACCGGAUAAUAUUUUGAACCGCAUGGUUCAAAAGUGAAAGACGGUCUUGCUGUCACUUAUAGAUGGAUCCGCGCUGCAUUAGCUAGUUGGUAAGGUAACGGCUUACCAAGGCAACGAUGCAUAGCCGACCUGAGAGGAUGAUCGGCGACACUGGGACUGAGACAGGGUCCAGAAUCCUACGGGAGGCAGAAGUGGGGAAUAUUGGAGAAGGGUCGCAAGCCUGAUAAAGCAAUAGCGCGUGGGUGAAGGAGGCCUUCGGGUUUUAAAGCCCUUGUGUUGGGAAAGAAAAGCAGCAGGUUAAUACCCCGCUGUUCUGACGGUACGCAAAGAAUAAGCACCGGCGAACUUCGUG